GUAGACUUUCGGGCUUGAACUU
RNAcentral lists this non-coding RNA (22 nucleotides) under Arabidopsis thaliana (thale cress). Lineage: Eukaryota; Viridiplantae; Streptophyta; Magnoliopsida; Brassicales; Brassicaceae. The record is from RNAcentral.